This 263-nucleotide signal recognition particle RNA is filed under the name Lachnospiraceae bacterium. RNAcentral's name for it is "signal recognition particle sRNA large type". It matches the Rfam family "Bacterial large signal recognition particle RNA". Rfam says of the family: The signal recognition particle (SRP) is a universally conserved ribonucleoprotein involved in the co-translational targeting of proteins to membranes. Lineage: Bacteria; Bacillati; Bacillota; Clostridia; Lachnospirales; Lachnospiraceae. The record is from RNAcentral.
CCGUGCAGCCGGGGCAGUAGCGGCGCCCUGUACCCACAAUCCGCUCCAGUGGGGGUGAUGACCGGUCGAGGGCUUUUAUCUGUAUAGCUGCCCUUUGCAAGCGGCGUAGACGUUUCGGGUCUUGCGCAACGGAAAUCUGUGAAUCGUGUCAGGUUGGGAACAAAGCAGCACUAAGCAGAAUCUUUCGUGUGCCGUGAGGGUGCCUGGGCUGAGCUGGCUACAGAGGUAACGUGUAUGGAUCUGGUUCGACACCGGUCGCACGG